AACAGGAUUAGAUACCCGCCGUAGUCCACGCCGUAAACGAUGGAUACUAGCUGUUGGGAGCAUUUUCAGUGGCUAAGCGAAAGUGAUAAGUAUCCCACCUGGGGAGUACGUUCGCAAGAACGAAACUCAAAGGAAUUGACGGGGGCCCGCACAAGCGGUGGAGCAUGUGGUUUAAUUCGAUGAUACGCGAGGAACCUUACCAAGGCUUAAAUGUAGAUUGACCGGUUUGGAAACAGAUCUUUCGCAAGACAAUUUACAAGGUGCUGCAUGGUUGUCGUCGGCUCGUGCCGUGAGGUGUCAGGUUAAGUCCUAUAACGAGCGCAACCCCUAUCGGUAGUUGCCAGCGGGUCAAGCCGGGAACUCUGCCGAAACUGCCAGCGUAAGCUGCGAGGAAGGCGUUGAUGACGUCAAAUCAGCACGGCCCUUACGUCCGGGGCGACACACGUGUUACAAUGGCCGGUACAG
Molecule: ribosomal RNA, 465 nt
Filed under: uncultured bacterium
Lineage: Bacteria
Description: bacterial SSU rRNA
Rfam family: Bacterial small subunit ribosomal RNA
Source: RNAcentral